This is a long non-coding RNA of Pantherophis guttatus, 1432 nucleotides long. RefSeq lists it as uncharacterized. Lineage: Eukaryota; Metazoa; Chordata; Lepidosauria; Squamata; Colubridae. The record is from RefSeq and is a predicted model, not a curated record.
AGGUGGUGAGGGGGCCACUGCUGUUUCUUUUUCAGGCAUUCCAAAGGCUGACAUUCAACUUACAAAUCAUACUUUCUCUAGGACGAUGAGCUGUCUGUACCUUAAUAGGAAUAUUUCCCAGACUCUGUGCUGUAAAAGAAGCAGAUUCAAAUGUGUUUGGCUGGUUUCAAUAUAUCGUGCGAACGUAAUGAAAUUAGUUGCACUGAAUUGUGUUCUGGGAAAUCUCCACAAUAAAAUCGCCAAGAGUCGGGUCGGCUUGACCAACCGGAUAACAUUAUCAUCAUCAAGGUUACUAAAGGAUUCCCAGGAUUGGAAUGUGUCAUGGAACAAUUUUUAUUAAGCAUGAAAUGAAAGAGAAAGCUCAACACAAUAAAAUAUGCAGUAGAACAACUACACAUCGAUAUAUUAGUUAUCAGUGAAUUGAGGUGGACUGGAAUUGAACAUAUUCAGUCAGGUGAUCAUACUGUUUGCUACUGUGCAUACUUGGCUGCAAUACAAUAAUAUCAAUUGGACUUUAUGCACAACUCUUUAAUAUAACAACUAUCCAGGUUUAUGAUGCAACCACUGAUACAGAAUAAGAUAGGGUUGGUGACUUUGAUAACAAGUUCAAUUUGAAAUUAAGCAUGCAAACAAGAUGUGCUCUUUAUGACUGGAACCUGGAAUGCUGCAGAAUUUAAAUAAUCUGGAUUCUAGAAUAUAUACUUGAACUGUGUAGUCUAGGACAGGCUGAGGAAUUCUGGGAGUUGAAGUCCAGAAGUCUUAAAGUUGCCAAGUUUGGAGACUCAUAGCCUAAGAAAACAAAAUGCAGCAGAACAACAGAAAGAAUCAGCAGAAAAUUCAUGGCACAUAGUCAAUUAAAAAGAGACCAGGCUACCAUGAAUUUAUAAGUUCUAGAUUCCUACAUUGUUGAGCUUUCAUUGGAGCUUCAACAGUAGUGUACAAUCAAAAGUUAGCAAUUCUGAUAUACCGUAGUUCAUGUUGACUUGAUUAAUUUGUUCUGAGAAAAUGGCACUACUAAUUAUUUAUAUUAAAAGUUCAGAUACUGACUUCAAACAUUGGCAUAUCCUGGGUUCUGAUUAUCUUAGUAAAUGCUGUGUGUGACCAGCCAUAUGCUAAAUAAAUAAAUCUUAGUAAACAUUAUUAAGAAAAUGUUUCAUGGCCUUAGGCUAAUGUUUUAAGCCUAAUUUUUAAUUAUAUAAAAAUUAGCUUCAUUGUAACACUUGCAUCUGAACAAAUAUAAACAAAAUUUGGUCUAUAAAUGUUAUUUGAUGGGAAAAGAUCACAGUAAACAUUUCUGGGACAAAAGAGUAAUGACUGUUCUUUAUUUUAACAAAUCCAGUAAAAACUAGCAGUCUUUAGUGAAUAAGUCACAUUAGGUAUAAGUUAAAUUAACCAAAUAAACAGAUGUAAGAUCAGGGCACAAAAAUGUAUC